CCGUCGGUCGACGUACGUCACGAGAGUUAGUAGUACUAUGGCUCAGGACGAACGCUGGCGGCGUGCCUAACACAUGCAAGUCGAACGGAGAUAUGAUUCGGUUAUAUCUUAGUGGCGAACGGGUGAGUAACGCGUGAGCAACCUGACUCUUAGAGGGGGAUAACACCCGAAACGGGUGCUAAUACCGCAUAAGACCACGACGUGGCAUCGCGACGAGGUCAAAGGAGCAAUCCGCUGAGAGAGGGGCUCGCGUCCCAUUAGAUAGAUGGCGGGGUAAAGGCCCACCAUGUCAACGAUGGGUAGCCGAGCUGAGAGGCUGAUCGGCCACACUGGAACUGAGACACGGUCCAGACUCCUACGGGAGGCAGCAGGUGGGGAAUAUUGGGCAAUGGGCGCAAGGCCCUGACCCAGCAACGCCGCGUGAGGGAAGAAGGCUUUCGGGUUGUAAACCUCUGUCCUUGGUGACGAAACAAAUGACGGUAGCCAAGGAGGAAGCCCCGGCUAACUACGUGCCAGCAGCCGC
Molecule: ribosomal RNA, 523 nt
Filed under: uncultured bacterium
Lineage: Bacteria
Description: bacterial SSU rRNA
Rfam family: Bacterial small subunit ribosomal RNA
Source: RNAcentral